GAUUUUCAAACAUCUUACUACCUUGAGGUGCAUACACGGAUCCUUGUAUUGCUAUAUGAAUUGAGGGCAACUUAAUUUUCUUAUUGCCUUAACGUACAUGGUGGGGCUGUAUCAUUGGGACACCCAUUAGGAUGCAGUGGAGCUCGUAUCUUGGUCACAUUGUUAGGGAUCUCUACAAAUUUUUAUUCUCCAAAUAUGAAAGUUGUCAAUGAGAACUUCCUCCCUCUGCUCAAACGCCUUGAUGACUGCAUAGCGUAAGGGGAUGCUAUUUACAUCAUA
Molecule: long non-coding RNA, 279 nt
Organism: Humulus lupulus (European hop)
Lineage: Eukaryota; Viridiplantae; Streptophyta; Magnoliopsida; Rosales; Cannabaceae
Exons: 3
Source: RefSeq, a predicted model, not a curated record